UGAGACUAUAUCUGAGACCUCUUCAUUCUGUGCAUAGAAAGACUUUCCAGGAAUAUAGAUGCUAAGCUCACUCCAAAAUUUAGAAUCCUACUAGCAUCUCCAAACAAGCCCCCCCUCCAUAUCCUACCUCUUCUUUGUAGAUGAUUAAAUCCUUUUCUCUAGAGCCAUCCCCGAGGACUAUAAAGUCAUCAAUACUACCAUCUCUGAGUUCU
This 212-nucleotide long non-coding RNA is filed under the name Capsicum annuum. RNAcentral describes it as "long non-coding RNA (CANN_LNC014845)". The record is from RNAcentral. Lineage: Eukaryota; Viridiplantae; Streptophyta; Magnoliopsida; Solanales; Solanaceae.